RNAcentral lists this ribosomal RNA (253 nucleotides) under uncultured bacterium. RNAcentral describes it as "partial 16S ribosomal RNA". It matches the Rfam family "Bacterial small subunit ribosomal RNA", at positions 524 to 776 of the family's 1533-position model. The record is from RNAcentral.
UACGUAGGGGGCGAGCGUUGUCCGGAUUUAUUGGGCGUAAAGAGCGUGUAGGCGGCCAGGUAGGUCUGCUGUGAAAACUCGAGGCUCAACCUCGAGAUGUCGGCGGAAACCAUCUGGCUAGAGUCCGGAAGGGGAGAGUGGAAUUCCUGGUGUAGCGGUGAAAUGCGCAGAUAUCAGGAAGAACACCCGUGGCGAAGGCGGCUCUCUGGGACGGUACUGACGCUGAGACGCGAAAGCGUGGGGAGCAAACAGG